CGAACGGGUGAGUAAUGCGUGACCAACCUGCCCCAUGCUCCAGAAUAGCUCUUGGAAACGGGUGGUAAUGCUGGAUGCUCCAACUUGACGCAUGUCUUGUUGGGAAAGUGUUUAGUGGCAUGGGAUGGGGUCGCGUCCUAUCAGCUUGUAGGCGGGGUAAUGGCCCACCUAGGCUUCGACGGGUAGCCGGCCUGAGAGGGCGGACGGCCACAUUGGGACUGAGACACGGCCCAGACUCCUACGGGAGGCAGCAGCG
This 256-nucleotide ribosomal RNA is filed under the name uncultured Gardnerella sp. RNAcentral describes it as "partial 16S ribosomal RNA". It matches the Rfam family "Bacterial small subunit ribosomal RNA", at positions 99 to 356 of the family's 1533-position model. The record is from RNAcentral. Lineage: Bacteria; Bacillati; Actinomycetota; Actinomycetes; Bifidobacteriales; Bifidobacteriaceae.